UGUCGGUCCCCCCGCAACGAAUAGCUGUGAACCCCGUCAGGCCCGGAAGGGAGCAGCGGUAACAGUGAACACGUGUGCCGGGGUGUGGCUGGCAUCG
RNAcentral lists this signal recognition particle RNA (97 nucleotides) under Chromatiales bacterium. RNAcentral's name for it is "signal recognition particle sRNA small type". It matches the Rfam family "Bacterial small signal recognition particle RNA". From Rfam's summary of the family: The signal recognition particle (SRP) is a universally conserved ribonucleoprotein involved in the co-translational targeting of proteins to membranes. The record is from RNAcentral. Lineage: Bacteria; Pseudomonadati; Pseudomonadota; Gammaproteobacteria; Chromatiales.